Molecule: ribosomal RNA, 491 nt
Filed under: uncultured bacterium
Lineage: Bacteria
Description: bacterial SSU rRNA
Rfam family: Bacterial small subunit ribosomal RNA
Source: RNAcentral
ACGACGCUGGCGGCGUGCCUGACACAUGCAAGUCGGACGGUUCUUGUACCUUCAAGCUUGCUUGUUGGUGCAAGGAUAGUGGCGGACGGGUGAGUAACGCGUGAACAUCUACCCAUUGGAGGGGGACAACCCGUCGAAAGGCGGGCUAAUACCGCGUAAGCCGCGAGGUGAGAGGCUGCCUAUUGGUGGCCGCCGAUGGAUGGGUUCGCGUCCUAUCAGCUGGUUGGUGGGGUAACGGCCUACCAAGGCGAAGACGGGUAGCCGGUCUGAGAGGAUGGCCGGCCACACUGGAACUGAGACACGGUCCAGACUCCUACGGGAGGCAGCAGUGGGGAAUAGUCUACAAUGGUCGGAAGACUGAUAGUGCGACGCCGCGUGAACGAUGAAUCCCUUCGGGGUGUAAAGUUCUUUUAUAUGUGAGCAGUGCUUCUUAUAUUAACAGUAUGGGGAGAGAGAUAUUAGCAUAUGAAUAAGCAACGGCUAACUCCGUG